Molecule: ribosomal RNA, 471 nt
Filed under: uncultured bacterium
Lineage: Bacteria
Description: bacterial SSU rRNA
Rfam family: Bacterial small subunit ribosomal RNA
Source: RNAcentral
AUAAACGUUGGCGGCGUGCCUAAUACAUGCAAGUCGAACGAAGGGCUUAAGGUAGCAAUACUUUGAUAACUCUUAGUGGCGAACGGGUGAGUAACGCGUUGGUGACCUGCCCCAAAGAGAGGGGUAACAGCCCGAAAGGGCUGCUAAUACCUCAUGUGAUCAUUUGAUUUAGAACCUUAUGAUUAAAGGAGCUUGCUCCACUUUGGGAGGGGCCUGCGUCCCAUCAGCUAGUUGGUAGGGUAAUGGCCUACCAAGGCUAUGACGGGUAGGGGACCUGAGAGGGUGGCCCACCACAAUGGAACUGAAACACGGUCCAUACACCUACGGGUGGCAGCAGUAGGGAAUAUUGGUAAUCUGCGAAAGCGGGAACCAGCAACGCCGCGUGCGCGAUGAAGGCCUUCGGGUUGUAAAGCGCUUUUCGAGAGGAAGAGGAAGGACUGUACUCUCGGAAUAAGUCUCGGCUAACUACGU